CGCCUUCGUAGCUCAGUGGUAGAGCUGUCGCCUCUUAAGCGAUAGGUCGUUGGUUCGAAUCCAGCCGGGGCAC
Molecule: transfer RNA, 73 nt
Filed under: Mycobacterium phage Shrimp
Lineage: Duplodnaviria; Heunggongvirae; Uroviricota; Caudoviricetes
Description: tRNA-Lys
Rfam family: tRNA
About the family: Transfer RNA (tRNA) molecules are approximately 80 nucleotides in length. Their secondary structure includes four short double-helical elements and three loops (D, anti-codon, and T loops).
Source: RNAcentral